AUAUCCCUGCUGUGUUCGUGUUUAACCGUUAAGUUUUUGCCAACACAAAAACAAUGGGAGCCUGGCUUCAUAUGUGAAUUGUAUGCCUUCGUUACAGGACACAUUGAACAUAUGGGAGGGCACCCCCCUGCUGAGCAGGACAAAACUGCGGUGGUUCACGACUCGGUGGGGCUUAU
RNAcentral lists this non-coding RNA (176 nucleotides) under Syntrophomonadaceae bacterium. RNAcentral describes it as "6S RNA". It matches the Rfam family "6S / SsrS RNA". Rfam says of the family: E. coli 6S RNA was the first non coding RNA to be sequenced, but its function was unknown until recently. It consists of 184 nucleotides that fold into an extended hairpin structure with a large single-stranded internal bulge. The 6S RNA specifically associates with RNA polymerase holoenzyme containing the sigma70 specificity factor. Lineage: Bacteria; Bacillati; Bacillota; Clostridia; Eubacteriales; Syntrophomonadaceae. The record is from RNAcentral.